CAGCACCUCAAGUGGUCAGGAUGAUUAUUGGGCCUAAAGCAUCCGUAGCCGGCGCUGUAAGUUUUCGGUUAAAUCUGUACGCUCAACGUACAGGCUGCCGGGAAUACUGCAGCGCUAGGGAGUGGGAGAGGUAGACGGUACUCGGUAGGAAGGGGUAAAAUCCUUUGAUCUAUUGAUGACCACCUGUGGCGAAGGCGGUCUACCAGAACACGUCCGACGGUGAGGGAUGAAAACUGGGGGAGCAAACCGGAUUAGAUACCCGUGUAGUCC
This 270-nucleotide ribosomal RNA is filed under the name uncultured archaeon. RNAcentral describes it as "partial 16S ribosomal RNA". It matches the Rfam family "Archaeal small subunit ribosomal RNA", at positions 477 to 747 of the family's 1478-position model. The record is from RNAcentral.